Molecule: unclassified non-coding RNA, 219 nt
Filed under: Hevea brasiliensis (rubber tree)
Lineage: Eukaryota; Viridiplantae; Streptophyta; Magnoliopsida; Malpighiales; Euphorbiaceae
Source: RNAcentral
UUUCUUAGGGGUCCCACUCUUCUUGGGCACGAACUUCUUUUUCCAGCCAGGAGGAGCAGGAAGUUCUACAGAGAAAUCCUCCUCUGUUAUCGAAGUAUCCUUCCCCUUCUCCACUGAACUUGCCAUUUCACCAGUAGCACAUGCGAGCAGGAACUUUAUCCGCCGCUGUAUUAUCUCUUUCUCGGCAGGAGUGACCAAACAAGAUGACAAAACUACCUG